This 103-nucleotide non-coding RNA is filed under the name Listeria fleischmannii. RNAcentral describes it as "SAM-I sequence". It matches the Rfam family "SAM riboswitch aptamer (S box leader)". From Rfam's summary of the family: The SAM riboswitch is found upstream of a number of genes which code for proteins involved in methionine or cysteine biosynthesis in Gram-positive bacteria. The SAM riboswitch acts at the level of transcription termination control. RNAcentral also lists the same sequence under 1 other name. Lineage: Bacteria; Bacillati; Bacillota; Bacilli; Caryophanales; Listeriaceae. The record is from RNAcentral.
UUCUUAUCAAGAGAGAUGGAGGGACUUGGCCCUGUGAAAUCUCAGCAACAGACCUACGGGCACUGUGCUAAAUCCAGCGAGCGCAAAGCUUGGCAGAUGAGGA